ACCCCUGCCCCUGCCCGUAAGAGAAAAACCCCCUUUGACUGUAAUUUUCCACUACCCACCCAAAUCCUAUAAAAUGGCCCCACCCCUAUCUUCCUUGGCUGAGUCUUUCCGGACUCAGCUCGCCUGCACCCAGGUGAAAUAAGUAGCCUUGUUGCUCACACAAAGCCUGUUUGGUGGUCUCUUCAUAUGGACGCGUGUGACAUUUGGUGCCGAAGACCUGGGACAGGAGGACUCCUUCGGGAGACCAGUCCCCUGUCCUCACCCUCACUCCGUGAGGAGAUCUACCUCGGGUCCUCAGACCAAACCAGCCCAAGGAACAUCUCACCAAUUUCAAAUCGGGUGUUGAGACUGAGGUUCAGAGGCCAAGAAGCUUACACAUGCUCACACAGCCAGGGAGUAGCAGAGCUGGGAUUUGAAUCCAGGAGUGUCUAAUCCCAACGUCCAAGACUUUUCCAUGAACCCAUCCUGCUUCCCUUCCAAGUCUGCAAGGGAGGUCCGGAUACAGGAGCUCUACAGGGCAUUGAUGGUAGCUUCUGCAUUUACUUAAUUUAUGUAACUUUCACUGAUCUAGUAUAAUACUAGGGACUGACUGUUUCUUGAGCUUUACAAAUACAACCUCAUUUAAGCUUCAUUAACAGGUCUAUGAGGUCUGUAUCAUUAUCAUCCUAUUUUACAAAUAAGGAAAUUGGCUGGAUGCAGUGGCUCACGCUUAUAAUCCCAGCACUUUGGGAGGCUGAGGCAGGCAGAUUGCCUGAGUUGAGGAGUUCGAGACCACCCUGGGCAACAUGGCAAAACCCAUCUCUACUAAAAAUACAAAAAUUAGCUGGGUGUGGUGGUGCAUGCCUGUAAUCCCAGCUACUUGGGAGGCUGAGGCAUGAGAAUUGCUUGAACCCGGGAGGUGGAGGUUGCAGUGGGCCAAGAUAGCAAGCACCACUGCACUCCAGCCUGGGAGACAGCAAGACUGUCUCAAAAAAAAGGAAACUGCAGCACAGAGAGGUAAAGUAACUUGCUCUAGGUCACACAGGAAGUAGUAGGGCUGGGAAUUGGACCUCAGUAGUUUGGUUCCCAGUAUAUGUUUCCCACCUUCCUUGAAGUGCUAUCCAGGAGGAGGAGGAGGAAGCAUACAAGUGGAUGCAUCACAAAGAAAUUAGAAAGCAGCAAAGUGAAAAUCCAAAGUCCGUGGAAAAGAACCCACCUUUUGCCUGACUUGAGUGAUAGGAGCCUGUGUUGGUGGGACUCAGGACUCACAUGCCUGGUGGUGUCAUCACUGGGCCUGUGGCUAGUGUUGCUCUUCUCAGGGGGACAGCAGGAAUCUUGUCCAAGUAGGCUCCUUGACCCAACCACUUAGUGUGGCACGGGAAGAAGACUUCUUUCUUUUUUUCUUUUCUUUCUUUUUUCUGAGACAGAGUCUCACUCUGUCGCCCAGGAUGGAGUGCAAUGGUGCGAUCUCGGCUAACUGCAACCUCUGCCUCCCAGGUUCAAGUAAUUCUCUCACCUCUGCCUCCUGAGUAGCCGGGACUACAGGCACGCACCACCAUGCCUGGCUAAUUUUUGUAUUUUUAGUAGAGAUGGGGUUUCACCAUGUUGGCAAGGCUGGUCUUGAACUCCUGACCUCAAGUGAUCCGCCCACCUCGGCCUCCCAAAGUGCUGGGAUUACAGACGUGAGCCACCGCGCCUGGCGGAAGACUUCUUUGUUUACAACCUCUCCCAUCUAUACUCCUUUCCCGCCGUGCCAUUAAACCCUAUCUGAGAUAGAGGACCUUAAAAACCUGCCCCCACCAGAUGAUGAUGGAUUAAUCCCCACCUCAGGACUGCUGUCCACCCUGCAUUUCACCAGAUGUGAGUCAAGCAAGAGCAGCCACACUAACCACUUCUCAACACUGUGCUGCAUCUCCUCAUCCUAACAGGGCUCCUCUAACCAGUGUUUUGGCCAUUGCCUGCAUCUGCAGCCAUCUCCCAAAUCUCCCAGAUUCCUCCCUUUCUGGUGUUCAGCGCUAAUGAAAGUCACAACGAUUAAAUGGAAAUCGGAGUUUCUCAACCUAGAAAACAUGCCAUUUUUACAAAGGGAAAUUUGGAUGUCGUUGUGGUUUCCUUAUUGGAUUGUUUUGGAAGCAGUGUGGGGAUAGGAGUGCUGGGAGCUAAAUACACAGAAAAGCAAGAGCAAA
Molecule: long non-coding RNA, 2165 nt
Filed under: Homo sapiens (human)
Lineage: Eukaryota; Metazoa; Chordata; Mammalia; Primates; Hominidae
Description: HSALNT0052738
Source: RNAcentral